This 9374-nucleotide long non-coding RNA is filed under the name Linum usitatissimum (flax). Its description in RNAcentral is "long non-coding RNA (LUSI_LNC006256)". The record is from RNAcentral. Lineage: Eukaryota; Viridiplantae; Streptophyta; Magnoliopsida; Malpighiales; Linaceae.
CAUGUUCAAGAUCGAGCAGCAGUUGUUCCAUCUUCAGCAAGGGGAAAUGGACGUCACAGAGUACUACAAUACUCUUGGGCAUCACUGGCUACACCUGGAUACGUAUGAUGCAUAGGAAUGGGAUACUCCUGAAGAUCAGCUACGAUUCAGGAUGUAUAUUGAGAAGAAAAGGACCCUGUCCUUUCUCAUAGGGUUAAAUCAGGAUCUGGACAGCAUAAAGAGCCAAAAUAAUGAGCACCAAGCCCUUCCCUAGUCUCACGGAGGCGUUUGCUGCCAUAUUUGGGGAAGAAAAUCGAAGAGAUCUCAUGGUUGUUCUAGCCAAACCUCCUCCUACUCCUCAAGUUGAAAGUUCGGCCCUUGCUGUGCGCAAUCAAUACCGCAACAACAAGCAGGUGCAAAACCCACCAAAAGGAGAAGAGGAAGAAGACAACUACUGUGACCACUGCCGAAGACAUGGACACACAAGAAGUGAGUGUUAUUUUCUGGUUGGAGGCCCUCCAGGCUGGAAACCACGCAGCAAGAGACGUGGCCAAGCUCACGUGGCUGCUGCUGCUGCAGACAAGCAACCAGAGACUGAGAGCAGUCCCUUUACUAAGGAACAAGCCACUGCCCUAGAGAAGUUCUUCACCAAAAUCAUGAGCAGGAAUCCACCUUCACAGCAAACAAAUUCAUCCUCGGACACAUACACCGAAUUGUUUGCUAGUAAAGGUUCAAUUCUAAACAACCUGCUAAGUGGAUAAUAGAUUCAGGAUGUUCAGACCUGAGGAAAUACCGUAUAUAUUUGUAUAUAUUUAAGAUCAUAGUUAGUUUAUUUAGUUACCAUUUUAGUACUAGUUCUAUCCUAUUCUAGCUAGUAGAUCCUAUAAAAUAGUUAGAGUAAAUAUAUUCUUACCUAAUCAGUAGGAAGAAUGCUGUAUAUAUUGAGCCUACGGGACAUGAAUAAAAUCAUUCAUUCUCUCAAUCUUCAAGACCAUAUGAUGGGAUCCAGAGAGGUGUUAAUAGAGUUCCAAACUUAUCCUAGUACUCUGGGUCCGUAUUGCUGAUGGUAGUUUAUCAACUAUUGAGGGGAUAGGCAGGGUUAAACUGAAUGGCAAGAUUGAUAUAUUCUCUAUCCUAUAUGUACCCUCCUUGAGCUGCAACUUGAUAUCCAUUAGCCAGCUAAGUAGGGAUCUUCAGUGUAAAGCCGUGUUCAGUGCUAAUCAGUGUUCCCUUCAGGAAGAAAGCUCAGGGAAGACGAUUGGAACUGAUGAGUUACAUGACGACCUUUACAUCAUGAACGGGGCUACUUGUGGUGAAGAACUUGGUGGACAAAAUAGAGCGUUGAUUACUAGUAAUAGCACGAAUAAUCGUGAUAGCCAGAUCAUGUUAUGGCAUAGCCGAUUAGGGUAUCCUAGUUUUGGAUAUUUAGAAAAAUUUUUACUUAGGUUAUUUCUCAAUAAAAGUUCCAAGGAUUUACAAUGCGAAGUUUGCCAACUAGCCAAACACACUCAUAGCAGCUAUCUAGGAAUGAGUUAUAAACCUACGAAGCCUUUUGCCAUUAUCCACAGUGACAUUUGGGGCCCUACUCGGGUCAAGAACAUCAACGGGGCACGAUGGUUCCUUACUUUCAUAGACGACCAUACAAGACUAACAUGGACGUUCCUAAUGAAAGAAAAGUCAGAAACCACAACCAUGUUUCAGGAAUUCCAUCACAUGAUACUCAAUCAGUUUGGAACCCAUAUACAGGUUCUCAAAAUCGAUAAUGCCCACGACUACUUCAAUUCAGUCCUAGGGUCAUACUUAUCUCUCCAUGGCAUUGUUCACUGCAGUUCAUGUGUGGACACACCUCAGCAGAACGGAAUUGCUGAGCGUAAGAAUCGACAUCUCCUCGAGACAGCUAGAGCAUUGCUCUUCACCAAACAGGUUCCAAAGUACCUAUGGGGGGAGGCUGUGUUAACAGUAAUCUACUUGAUCAAUAGGCUACCAAGUCGCAUCCUCGACUAUCAAACACCUAAAGAUGUGUUGAUGAAAGCAUACCCACAUGUACAUGCGUAUAUGUCUGAAUUGUAACCUAAGGUCUUUGGGUGCCUUGCCUUCACUCACAUCCAGCAACAUCAAAGGACCAAGCUAGAUCCUCGAGCACAGAAGUGUGUGUUCAUUGGCUAAUAUUCUCCACAAAAAACUGACAGCAGAAAGGUUACAAAUGUUACUCCCCUAUCACCAAGAAAAUUGUGGUGACCAUGGAUGUGACAUUUUUUGAAACCUUCGCAUAUUACAAUACUCCAAAGCUUCAGGGGGAGACACAGCCACAGCCAACAGUGGCAAAGGCAGAAGAAGCUCUAGAUCUGAAAAAUUUAAUUGCUUUAGAUGGGCCAACCAUGCCUCCCAUUCAUACGGGAAUAGUUGGAGAAGAACUAGAACCUGCUCCAAAAACGAGCAGCAGACCACCAAUUCAACAUAUUUACCAGCGGAGACAGAGACUUGAGCCUAAUAUAGAGCCUGAACCAGAAACUGGAGUAAACAGUGAGGGAACUGACCUAAGCCCUGAAUUUAGGGCGUUUACUGUACACUUGGAUACCAAACCUCGCAACAUAGAGGAGGCCAUGAGAAUACCUGAGUGGAGACAGGCAGUUUUGGAAGAGAUAAGGGCGUUACAAAGCAAUGAAACCUGGAGGAUUGUUGACCUACCACCAGGAAAACAAACAGUAGACUACAAAUGGCUGUUUACAAUAAAGUACAGGGCAGAUGGCAGUGUGGAGAGACACAAGGCUAGGCUCGUAGCACGAGGAUUUACACAAACAUAUGGGAUUGACUACCAGGAAACGUUUGCCCCGGUAGCAAAACUCAACACCGUUCGGAUCCUACUGGCAGUGGCAGUAAAUGAAAACUGGCCCCUGUAUCAAAUGGACGUCAAAAAUACAUUCCUAAAUGGAGCAUUAACAGAGGAAGUUUAUAUGAAAAUUCCAGAAGGGGUGCCUCAUGCUAAAACCGGGAGAAAGGUGUGCAAGCUGGAGAAGUCCCUGUACGGACUAAAACAGUCUCCGAGAGCUUGGUUUGGAAAAUUUUCAGCAACUGUAACAUCUAAUGGCUACCACCAGUGUCAAACAGAUGACACAAUGUUCGUGAAACAUGGAGCUGGGAACAAGAUAGCCAUCCUGAUUGUCUACGUCGAUGACAUUAUAAUCACGGGUAAUGACAAUGAGGAGAUUUCAAGGUUGAAGAUCAAACUGGGAACUGAGUUUGAGAUGAAAGACCUAGGAGAAAUGAAAUAUUUCCUUGGAAUGGAGGUGGCCAGAUCAAGCAAAAGACUUUCUAUAUCCCAGAGAAAGGACAUCCUAGAUCUACUAGAGGAAACCGGUAUGACAGGGUGCAAACCGGCAGAUACCCCAAUGCAGUCAAACAUGAAGUUCAGUGUAGAAGAGAACGGGGGAAAAGCAGACAAGGGAAGAUACCAACAGCUGGUAGGAAAGCUUAUAUACCUAGCACACACUCGACCUGACAUAGCUUUUGCUGUGAGUGUAGCCAGUUCAUGAAUUAAUCAAAGAGUGAGCACAUGAAUGCUGUAAAUUAUAUUCUUAGAUACCUAAAGAAAACCCCAGGAUUGGGGCUGAUGUUCAAGAAGAAUGAGAGCAGAAUGAGAGCAGGUCAGUGGAAAUAUACACUGAUGCAAGCUGGGCCAGUGAAAUCACAACGAGGAGAUCGACCACAGGUUACUGCUCUUAUGUAUGGGGAAACUUGGUAACGUGGAGAAGUAAGAAGCAGUCAGUUGUUGCACGAAGCAGUGCAGAAGUAGAAUAUCGAGCUCUUGCUCUCGGGAUUCAGGAAGUCAUGUGGAUACGAGUCCUAAAGGAACUAGGGUUACCAGGACACGGGAGAGCUACACUAUAUAGUGAUAGCCAAUCAGCCUUAAGCAAUGUUAAGAAUCUUGUACAUCACAACAGGACCAAGCAUGUCGAGAUAGACAUGCAUUUUAUCACUGAAAAGGUGGAAGGGGGAGUUGUGGAUGUGAGAUAUGUUCAGUCCAAACAGCAGACAACUGACAUACUCACAAAGGCUCUUCCACGAGAACUAUCAGAACAUUUCAAGUCCAAGCUUGGUCUGCACAACAUUUACACCAAGCUUGAGGGGGAGUGAAGAAAUCCCGUUCAUAUUUGUAUAUAUUCAUAUCAUAGUUAGUUUAUUUGCUAGUUAGAUAGUUACCAUGUUAGUACUAGACCUACCCUAUUUUAGCUAGCAGAUCCUAUUAGAUAGUUAGAGUAAAUAUUUUCUUACCUAAUUGGUAGGAGGCCUAUUGUAUGUAUUAAGCCUACGGGACAUGAAUAAAAUUAUUCAUUCUCUCAAUCUUCGUUAGGAUUCUAAACUAUAUAGGUCUAUCAUUAACACCUAUGUAAUUUAUAUACAAUACAUAUAAAUCGAACGAGGCACAUGUACCUAAUUUGAGAUAUAAAUCGAACGAGGCAACUGUCUUCUAACCUAGCAUUUAUCUCUUCUAUCAAUAACAUAAGAGAAAGAAACAAAUCUUAAACAAAAUUCUAUACCUUUGUUCAAAUGCAGCCACUGUCUUCAGAUACCUAUCACGAGCUCCACACCUGCAAGCUGUAGAUCAAGGUAGCAUCAUCAGGCACUGCAUCAAUGAUUCUAAAUUUCUCGAAAUUCUGCCCUCAGAUUUCAGCUAUUAAUAGUGAAACACCAGCUAUUCCUCGUAUCUCAUGAAAUAAAAUUUGAUGGACUCUUUGCUUUCCUUGGAUUCUUUUCUGGAGAGCUACUUACAUUGAUGAUAUCAGAGGCUACCAACCAGUCCAUGUCGGCGUAUGUGAUGGUUUAGAUGAAGCUUCCCUCAACUCGUUGCAGUGCAUAUCUAAUAUGGAACGGGUACAGAGAGGUUAUGUUUACUCAUAAUAAUUGACUGAGAUUAGUGAUGAGUUGCUGAAUUCCUCAAAACAAUGUGUUGUGUUGAAGCUGUUAAAUGUUUCACCAAGGGUAGAAGCUCCUGCAAGUUUUCUUGUCACCUUUAUCACACGUGUAAAAAGAAUUGUUUUGUAAUGUUGAGUUGAUAUGAUAUCACCCAAGCACCGACUUGUAACCCACUUCUAUCUUAGCAUCUUAGCUGUCUUCCAUAUAUAUAAAUAUCGCCAAUCUUGUAAGCGAGUCUAACAUAAUCCCACCCUACCCAAAUAUAAGUCUUGUGAUCUCUGUACAACAACAGCAACUCGGAGAUAGUAGUACUAGCAGAUGCAUCAAAAGAACUGGCAUCAUUUAAACUUACAAAGCCACAACUAACACAAGCCAACAUGUUAUCAAGAGGAGUCAAUAUGCUUCUAUUUUGAUUGCUUGUAUAUCUCUUAGGUACUCCAGAGAUAGCCCAUACUCCAGAGUCCUAAGCAAAAGCAUAACUAGCCACAAUGAGUUUACAAUUGCACUUGGGAUCGGUUUUAAUAUUGUAUCUCAGUUUCUGCUUGAUGCAUCCAUUCUGAAUCGUGGGUCUGCAAAUACAUGCCUCUGUUAAUGUUUGUAAGCGAGCUACCGCUUACUCUUACAGCUCUACUCAACCAACCCACUACAGAAUCAAUUUCAUGCAAUCCAGAUAUAACACGUCCAAUUUUGACCAGAGCAAGAAGGAGAAUUGGGCCUUCUUAUUAAGUACAAUGCAUUUCUACAUGUGCAUGUUUGAAAGAUUACCUGUCGUUAGAGAAGUAGCUUCUGCUUUCCAUCAUCAUUAUCCAGCAUUAAGGUCAAUCUACCUUCAAUGUAUAUAGACAUUACGACACCACCGCUUUAGAGACAGACCAUGACUUCACUUUCAGUUGUCAACAAAGAGAACUGAAUGCCACCAAGUAGGGGUUGGUUUUCUACUUAUGCACUGAAGAUGGAACAUGUUAAGGAUACUGAGAUGCUUCAAGCACAACCACAUUUUGGUUUUGUGAUCCCCAAGACUCCAAUAUGUAAAACAUUGGCUACGUGGAUUCAAAUUUCCAGCAGAGCUCAUACUGUAGAAAAACAUCUUAUACCUUGAUUCCUGAAUUUCACAUGUCAACAAGUAUUUUCUGCGAUGUAAAAUCAGUUAGGAUCCUGCCAUUGCUUCAAACUAAGCAAGUCAUCAAUGAAAAGUAAUGCAAGAUGUCAAAUAUUGAUCACCUCUUACGAUCUUCCAUUUUUGUGUCAUUCUGGCAAUAUAUGAAAGGCUAAACUACAUGUGAGCACACAAGAAAGGCUGGUGUUCCCAUUCUAGGACCCAACUUUAGCAUAUUGUCGUAUACCACUAUGCAAAUUCUGACCGUCAAGUUUGAAAUAGGCAGAAGGGCCAAAUCUUCCCCUUCUAGGACCGAUUCCAUAAUCGUCAAGUUUGAAAUAGGCAGAAGGGCAAAAAAAAUCCCUACUAGGACCGAUUUCGUGAAGUUUGAAAUAGGCAGAAGGCAACAAUUUCCCCUUCUAGGACCCAUUUCUAUAUGAAUUUAUGCAUGAGGUGAUAAGGAACCCAGAAAUUAUUUUACUUUAGGUAUGCGGCAAACCAAGAUUGAGGAGGGUCCUUCUCGAGGAACCAUAAGUAAGACCACUACAAUUGACAAGUUUGGAAGAAGCAUUAGAGAAAAAUACCGUUUGAAAUAGGCAGAAGGGCUAAAUAGUUCCCAGCUAGGACCCAUUUCUAAGUAUUCUCUUCAAUUAUUAGGCAAUUGAUGGGAUCUUGAAAAUGAAAAUCGGCAACCAACCGUAAAUGAUAUACAACCUCGAUAACCAUUUAUGUUUUCAUAGCGCAGCAGAAGAAUCCAACAAAAUAUCGAACACAAUCAGAUCCACAACUUCAGUUGGCCACUCAUCCUUUCUUUGUACCGACACGGCCAUGUUUUAAAAUAAUUUUUUCCAAUGUGUUAAUACUGCAGCAUGAAAGGUCUGAUGUUUCUUUAUGCAAAAAGCCAAAAUUGGAGGGUGACAACAUCAAACAUUGAUAAUAGUAGAGAGUGUAUAGAUUCAUAAUUUGGAUGACACCAUUCUAUUCUUCAUAACCAUAAUCUUCUGAAGAUUUCGAAUCUGAAUAUCAAAACAGCAAUUUGCAUCAAUUUAAUAACCGCCCAUUCAUAUCUGCAGUGAAACGCCCUAUAGAUUUUUACUCAGCAAAAAAGAUUUAAAGCUUUUUACUCUAUCACCAGCAAAUUUAUCCUAAAAGUCGUGAAAGAAACCCACAACUACACAUAACAAGGCCUACCAAGAUGUUUAAGGGGCAUGAAUUACAUCCAGAAACAAAUCCACAUGAUCAAAUGUUCAUAAGAAAUCAGAAGGGCUUUUUCAACAGAAAUCUCGAACCCACAAGAUGAGGUGCCUCCAUUAUCCAACUCAAGUGCCCUUUAAUUAUAAACUUAAUCAACUACAACAAACAGAUUUCUAGAGUGGACAGAUGACAAACCAAUACUAAGACUGAUUGCCUUUCUCGAACAUAAUAUGGACCGUUCACUUAAGCCAACUGUAAUCAAAUCGAAAAUAGAAAAAAGUGUUACCUGAAUCACUCUUUUAGGUACCUUUUUAUCUGUAUACUUGUAGAAGGCAAAAAGGCAACCCUUACCAGGCAAGGUUCCAUUUUAGGACCUUUAAAUAUUGCAACAAACUAAUGUUCAUAAUGGGCAGAAGGCAAACCGAGAUGAGCAUGGAUCCUUUCUAGGACCCAAAAUGAACAACUCACAUGAACAGCUCACUUAGCUCAACAGUAAUCAAGUUCAACAUAGGCAGAAUGGUAACUUGGUUCUCUCUUCUAGAUACCUUUACAUUUGUAUAUGUUCGAAGGCAAAAAGGCAACCCAAACUGAGGUUCCAUUUUAGGACUGUCAAAUAUUGCAACAAAUAAAUGUCCUGAACAGGCAGGAGGCAAACCGAGAUGAAUAUGGUUCACUGUCUAGGACUCGAAAGAACAACUUGCAUAUAUGAAUCCAAUAAGUCUCAAUAGAUAGAAAGAUUAACUAUAAUCCCUUUUAGGACCCACAAUGAGGUGGAUUACCACUCAGGAGCUCAAAAUAUGCAGGCGAGCUACACAAAACCCUUUAAGCUACGCAGCAUCGGUAAAAAAUUCCAAAGGAUAACCAUAUAGAUCAAACCCACGAUGUAUCCUUAAACUCUCUUUAGUAACAUGGGGCAGCACAACAAUAGAUUUCUAGAAUCCAAUUUCCCAAUUCAUAAGAAAGUCAAUAAUGAUUAAUAUGUCUUAAGGCGUCAAGUUUUCAACUCCAAGAUAUCUUAUUUCUGGAAAAGAUUGGAUUUUAAAGUUGCACCGUUGAGUCAAAAGUUUAAGAAAUCCAGCAUUAAGCGCCUCGAAGCCUUUUAAAAUGAUCGCAAAUGUAUCUUAUGACCAAAUGCAACCCAUGAGAAAGGAUCUACCAACUCACCAAGCAUACAUCGAAGUGAAAGACACAGUAACAGAGAUCAUUAGAUAGCCACCAUGGCUCAGAGAUACAGAAUUCUCAAACAUUAGAAACCAGUCACUUGUAAUUGUUGUAAGAAAACCCCCUAUAUAUUUUGUUCCUCAAGCAACGGAAUCAAAGCACAACAGGAACCCACGAAACGAACCUUUUAAGGAUUCAAGGUAAUAGUCAGACUCAGAAUGCUUCGAUGCAAAAGAAUCUUUCAAGUCCACAAGAACGCUAAAUCUAGGAACGAAAGUGACGUAAAUGGAUGAAAAAUGGAGAUUUGAGAUGGAAAACGGACCUGUUAAUUGUAGACCCGCACAAAAGAAGUUUCUGACACUUGAAGAGUUCUGUGUCAGAAAUUGUAACCCACCAGAAGAGGGCAAACAGAAAUCGUAACCAGCCAGAGUCUCCGGUCAGCACGAUCUUGAACAGGUUAUCGUAUUCGUGGUCUACCCUAUGUCUCUUUCCCCCAAACACUAAAUUUAUACAAGACACUGUUCCUCUCCUGCUAUCUCUUAUUCUCCUUCUCAUCUCAGAUCUCUCAAACCUGCAUGAGAUCCAAUCGACGACCACGAACAAAUCAAUCAUGAGUUGCAGUAACUGGAACGCAAACAGAUCUGAAACAGUUUCAAAGGAAUAUGACUUACCCGAGGGACGAAUAGAUUAAGAAGGAGAAACGAACUCGUCUACGAACCAGGAACAAUGAGAUUCACAAUUUUCUAUCUUUAAAUUUUGGAUUAUGAAUUUCAUGGUAGGUUGGAUAUGACAAAGAAAUAAGAAGGUUUUCUUUCAUGGCCAUAAAAAAUGGAUACAAAUGCCUUGGAUUAAGGGAUGGGUGCUACAGAGGCUUUGAAAAUUGUCUCUGUCUUUAGAGCUUGAGAAUCCUUCUUUAGCAGGCUUUUAGUUCCUUAUUAUUAUUUAUUAAGAAGAGAAAACACAAGCCAUAUUUCUAUCUCUAUAUUACUACAGCUUAAUGUUUGCUGUAUUUUAUUGGUUACAAGUUGUC